This 380-nucleotide ribosomal RNA is filed under the name uncultured eukaryote. RNAcentral's name for it is "partial 18S ribosomal RNA". It matches the Rfam family "Eukaryotic small subunit ribosomal RNA", at positions 592 to 976 of the family's 1831-position model. The record is from RNAcentral.
CAAUAGCGUAUAUUAAAGUUGUUGCGGUUAAAAAGCUCGUAGUUGGAGUUCUGCCAGGUGACGCUCGUCCGCCCAAGUGGUGUGUACAGGGCGUGCAUCUGGCCCUUUCAAGGGGAACGUGUCUGCACUUUACUGUGUGGUGCGAGAUCCUUGACUUUUACUUUGAGGAAAUCAGAGUGUUCCAAGCAGGCUCUCGUCGUGUAUAGCUCAGCAUGGAAUAAUAGCAUUGGACUUCGUUUCUAAGCUGUUGGUUGCAAGAAGCGAGGUAAUGAUGAAGAGGGAUAGUUGGGGGCAUUCGUAUUUAACUGUCAGAGGUGAAAUUCUUGGAUUUGUUAAAGACGGACUGCUGCGAAAGCAUCUGCCAUGGAUGUUUUCAUUGA